RNAcentral lists this ribosomal RNA (527 nucleotides) under uncultured bacterium. Its description in RNAcentral is "bacterial SSU rRNA". It matches the Rfam family "Bacterial small subunit ribosomal RNA", at positions 777 to 1304 of the family's 1533-position model. The record is from RNAcentral.
AAUAGAUACCCCGGUAGUCCACGCCGUAAACGAUGAGUGCUAAGUGUUAGGGGGUUUCCGCCCCUUAGUGCUGCAGCUAACGCAUUAAGCACUCCGCCUGGGGAGUACGGUCGCAAGACUGAAACUCAAAGGAAUUGACGGGGGCCCGCACAAGCGGUGGAGCAUGUGGUUUAAUUCGAAGCAACGCGAAGAACCUUACCAGGUAUUGACAUCCUCUGACAAUCCUAGAGAUAGGACGUCCCCUUCGGGGGCAGAGUGACAGGUGGUGCAUGGUUGUCGUCAGCUCGUGUCGUGAGAUGUUGGGUUAAGUCCCGCAACGAGCGCAACCCUUGAUCUUAGUUGCCAGCAUUCAGUUGGGCACUCUAAGGUGACUGCCGGUGACAAACCGGAGGAAGGUGGGGAUGACGUCAAAUCAUCAUGCCCCUUAUGACCUGGGCUACACACGUGCUACAAUGGACAGAACAAAGGGUAGCGAAACCGCGAGGUUAAGCCAAUCCCACAAAUCUGUUCUCAGUUCGGAUCGCAGU